GACGAACGCUGGCGGCGUGCUUAACACAUGCAAGUCGAACGAUGAAGUUCCUUCGGGAAUGGAUUAGUGGCGAACGGGUGAGAAACACGUGAGAAACCUGCCUUUCAUUUUGGGAUAACUCCGGGAAACCGGAGCUAACACCGAAUACUCCGUCUCGGCGGCAUCGCUGAGCCGGGAAAAAAUUUUGAUGAAAGAUGGUCUCGCGGCCUAUCAGCAAGGUGGUGAGGUAAUGGCUCACCAAGGGGGCCGCGGGUAGCCGGCCUGAGAGGGCGAGCGGCCACACGGGGACCGGGGCACGGGCCAGGCUCCUACGGGAGGCGGCAGUGGGGAAUAUCGGGCAAUGGGCGCAAGCCUGACCCAGCGACGCCGCGUGAGGGAUGAAGGCCUUCGGGUUGUAAACCUCUUUCAGUAGGGAAGAAGCGAAAGUGACGGUACCUAAAGAAGAAGCACCGGCUAACUAUGUGCCAGCAGCCGCGGUAA
This 480-nucleotide ribosomal RNA is filed under the name uncultured bacterium. RNAcentral describes it as "partial 16S ribosomal RNA". It matches the Rfam family "Bacterial small subunit ribosomal RNA", at positions 28 to 523 of the family's 1533-position model. The record is from RNAcentral.